This 94-nucleotide long non-coding RNA is filed under the name Urocitellus parryii (Arctic ground squirrel). Its description in RNAcentral is "ZEB2 antisense RNA 1 conserved region 3 (ENSUPAG00010004628.1)". It matches the Rfam family "ZEB2 antisense RNA 1 conserved region 3". Lineage: Eukaryota; Metazoa; Chordata; Mammalia; Rodentia; Sciuridae. The record is from RNAcentral.
UCCACGCCCCCCCCCCCCCCCCCCCGUCAAGCCUUUGGCAUCAUUAUCCUCAUCACUAAAUCCUACAGAGUACAGGGCGGAAAACGGUGCACAC